Molecule: ribosomal RNA, 469 nt
Filed under: uncultured bacterium
Lineage: Bacteria
Description: bacterial SSU rRNA
Rfam family: Bacterial small subunit ribosomal RNA
Source: RNAcentral
GAUGAACGCUAGCGACAGGCCUAACACAUGCAAGUCGAGGGGCAGCACAAGGAGCAAUCUGAGGUGGCGACCGGCGCACGGGUGAGUAACACGUAUGCAACCUACCUGUAAGCGGGGAAUAACCCGUUGAAAGACGGACUAAUACCGCAUAAUACUGAGAUCUGCAUGGAUAUUCAGUUAAACAUUUAUGGCUUACAGAUGGGCAUGCGCAUGAUUAGAUAGUUGGAGAGGUAACGGCUCCCCAAGUCAACGAUCAUUAGGGGUUCUGAGAGGAAGGUCCCCCACACUGGUACUGAGACACGGACCAGACUCCUACGGGAGGCAGCAGUGAGGAAUAUUGGUCAAUGGGCGAGAGCCUGAACCAGCCAAGUCGCGUGCAGGAAGAAUGUCCUAUGGAUUGUAAACUGCUUUUGCAGGGGAAUAAAGUGAGCCACGUGUGGUUUUUUGUAUGUACUCUGCGAAUAAGGAU